GUCUAUGGCCAUGCCACCCUGAACACGCCCGAUCUCAUAUGAUCUCGGAAGCUAAGCAGGGUCGGGCCCAGUUAGUACUUGGCUGGGAGACCACCUAGGAAGACUGGGUGCUGUAGGUG
Molecule: ribosomal RNA, 119 nt
Filed under: Pteropus alecto (black flying fox)
Lineage: Eukaryota; Metazoa; Chordata; Mammalia; Chiroptera; Pteropodidae
Source: RNAcentral